This is a long non-coding RNA of Helianthus annuus (common sunflower), 960 nucleotides long. RefSeq lists it as uncharacterized. The transcript has 3 exons. NCBI's taxonomy places the organism in Eukaryota, Viridiplantae, Streptophyta, Magnoliopsida, Asterales, Asteraceae. The record is from RefSeq and is a predicted model, not a curated record.
UCUUGGCUAUAGGAUUAGAUCAAACGCAGCUUUCCGAUCAAGACAACAUCGUCGUUGCCAUUAAAGAAGCUGGUAACAUCAAGAUGAGUGUAUUUCAAAUCUAUUGAGUUUUUGUGUUGUUUGAUUGUUAGAAAUUAUGGGUUCCAACUUUUCAGUUUUUGAAGUUACUUAAAGAACGUAUAUGUUCCUCGUUUCGGUUAUAACUAAUAAUAACUCCAUUCAUAAUUACAAUAUAACUUCAAAAUUGUCAAGAGAUUAUUAAACCUAUGAAUUAUUACUUUUGUACUUAUCAUACCAUCUAGAAAUUUUAUCCAUUCAACUUUGGAAACACACUUCACAUUUCGUAGAACCUGCCAAAACUGCUUUCGCAACAAGGCUCGGGUUCGCCGAGCCAUUCGGCUGAAAAAAUCCCUUAUACAUAUAUAGUUGCCAACUGUUUUACAGGUUGUUUCCCUUAUAAUUGUAUAGCUGCCAACUAUUUUGCAGGUUGUUUCCUUCAAACAUUGGCCCAAUACAGGGUCACCGCUCUCCAAUGGACAAAGUCGUUAGCUUAGGUGAUGGAAACACGAAAGUGAACCUAGGAAGCAUGGAAACGUGUAUGUACGCCAUACCUAAAGACAAGCGUUUUGUGUGCAUCAGAAACUUGGAAGGUUUUGAUGCCAUCAUGAAUUGUAGAAAAGAGAACCCAUGUUUGAUUAUAGGUAUGUUGCGAAUGGGUGGUCCGAUUUCAUCUGUCUAAACGCAAUAAAAGUCAGUGAUGUUUGCACGUUUGGUUUUCUCGAUGAUAAUUGCAUGUUGGAUACUGCAGACCAUUUACUUAUGUGUUGUAGUAGUUCUAGAGUCAUUUGGGACCAGGUGUGUUUAUGGACUAAGGGAUAAUGUGAUUACAAAAUGUGGUGUAAAAAAAUUUGAAACUGCAGUUUAGUCAACGCAUUGAAUUUGAUACUUUAGAGUGAUGUC